RNAcentral lists this ribosomal RNA (220 nucleotides) under Escherichia coli. RNAcentral's name for it is "partial 16S ribosomal RNA". It matches the Rfam family "Bacterial small subunit ribosomal RNA", at positions 1 to 217 of the family's 1533-position model. The record is from RNAcentral. Lineage: Bacteria; Pseudomonadati; Pseudomonadota; Gammaproteobacteria; Enterobacterales; Enterobacteriaceae.
AAAUUGAAGAGUUUGAUCAUGGCUCAGAUUGAACGCUGGCGGCAGGCCUAACACAUGCAAGUCGAACGGUAACAGGGAUCAGCUUGCUGAUUCGCUGACGAGUGGCGGACGGGUGAGUAAUGUCUGGGAAACUGCCUGAUGGAGGGGGAUAACUACUGGAAACGGUAGCUAAUACCGCAUAACGUCGCAAGACCAAAGAGGGGGACCUUCGGGCCUCUUG